Prosopis cineraria is the source of this 1545-nucleotide RNA transcript. It is a transcript of the gene named probable transcriptional regulatory protein At2g25830, with no coding region annotated. The record is from RefSeq and is a predicted model, not a curated record. Lineage: Eukaryota; Viridiplantae; Streptophyta; Magnoliopsida; Fabales; Fabaceae. The transcript is spliced from 8 exons.
GGGGCAGCUCAAAAUAAGUCAAUCAUCUUCUUUUAAUAAGGCGAAAGAACUCGAAUUGAAAAAAGAUACAAGACGAACUUCAAGGGCGCUUGCACAAAUUUGAACGGCGCUUGCACCCUCCCACUUUUUAUUGAAUCGGAAAGAUCAAGCAACGAACUUCAAGGGCGGGAAAUAAAAUGGGUUCCUCCCUUACUAUGAGAGCAAUCGGAGCACUGCUUUGCAGAUUCUCAAAUGGCAUCUUAUCCAGACCCAACAAUGCCUUCUUUCUGCAUAGGGCUAGUUUGCUGAGCAGAGCCUUAUCGUCUGCGUCUUCGUUCUCGUCGUUGGAUACGAUCCAAGAGGUGAAUUGUAAUAACAACUUUCAAGCGAGAACGAUAUGGACAUUCCCUCCCGUCUGCAUGGGUAGACGUUCCAGCAAAAUUGCUGGCAGAAAGGAGGCUCAAGAUGCUAAGAAAGCAAAGCUAUACUCACGGAUUGGAAAGGAAGUUGUGUCUGCGGUGAAGAAAGGUGGUCCAAAUCCGACAUCAAAUUCGGUUUUGGCUGCUGUACUUGAGAAAGCCAAGGAACUUGAUGUGCCAAAAGAUAUUGUUGAGCGCAACAUAAAAAAAGCUACCGAGAAGGGACAAGAAGCAUACAUUGAAAAAAUAUACGAGGUAUAUGGUUAUGGUGGAGUUAGUAUGGUGGUUGAAGUCUCUACUGACAAAAUAAAUCGUUCAGUGGCAAAGAUUAGAGAAGUGGUGAAGGAUUAUGGAGGGAAGAUGGCAGAUUCUGGAUCUGUAAUGUUCAAAUUUAGGCGUGUUCGGGUGGUAAAUAUAAAAGUCACUGAUGCUGACAAAGAUCAGCUCCUCGCGAUUGCUCUAGAUGCUGGGGCUGAGGAUGUAAUUGAACCUCCAACUUACGAAGAUGAUACUGAGGAGGAUAGGUUGGAAAGGUAUUAUAAAAUUGUCGGCACAUCAGAGAACUAUUCAGCUAUACUAUCAAAACUGCGAGAGGAAGGCCUAAAUUUUGAGCCUGAUAGUGGUUCUGAGCUUCUUCCGAUUACCACCAUUGAGCCUCAAACCUACUUCAUGUAAGAAGCGAGGAACUGAGACUGUUCAUCUUAUCAACCACAUAAGGAUUUUUCCCCCAUUUGAACCAUUAUUGUAGAUGAUGAGGCUAUGGAGUUGAACAAGGAACUUAUGAGCAAGUUACUAGAGCUUGAUGAUGUUGAUGCUGUUUAUAUAGACCAGAAAUAAUCAUCUCUUAGCUUUAAAGCUGCUCAACUCAGUCAAGUUUUGACAUUGGGAUAACAUACAUGUUUCAUUAGCAAACCAUUAGGUACUCUUGAGUUCUUGCCUUUUGCGGAUCUCACAUGUACGCUCCUUGAUUUGACUUAUGUUUUGUUGGCUUCCACAUUUUUUUGGCGGUUAUUUUGAUGUGGGGUGAGGUGGCCAUAGGUUAUUCUUUCCUAGGACCUCGUAACAGUUAAAACUCUGACUGAGCAGUUCUUAUAACUAUUGUUGUCUUGAAUGACAAAAUGUUUAUUAUUUGAUGAUGAUGAUAAAA